Molecule: long non-coding RNA, 452 nt
Organism: Lepisosteus oculatus (spotted gar)
Lineage: Eukaryota; Metazoa; Chordata; Actinopteri; Semionotiformes; Lepisosteidae
Source: RefSeq, a predicted model, not a curated record
GCCCAAGUCAAAACACGAAAGCGUUUCCAUUUUGUCCAGGUAAUGCCAGUGCUGUCACAAGGAAGUAAGAAAUCAUUUGAGACGCAAAACACACAAGGUUGACUUUUGUGCUACUGAAAAUUAAGUAUUAAUACAAGAUCAAAUGCCCGUCCCUGGGAAACACAAAAAGUCUGCUGCAGUUUUGCUUUGCUAAUCACGAGGUCACAGGUGAAUGGUGAAAGAGAACACUUCACGAAGCCUGCAAUGAGAGUCUGGAUAUGAAUCUUCGGUUCUUUGGACUCAGAGUAAAGACCCACCUGGGUAAUCUAUGGAAAUCAUGUUUCCUGAGCAGUCCCACUACACAGCAGAUCAGGUGGAGGACAUUGUGGAUAUCCAAGAUCCGAGAGGGACAUCGUGGAUAUAGCUAUCGUUUAGGAGGAUUUUGCUGGUAUACAGAGAUCUGCAUGGAGAAC